UAAUACAUGCAAGUCGAACGCGUCUCCGUUAAUGAUUUUAGGUGCUUGCACUUGAAAGAUUUAACAUUGAGACGAGUGGCGAACUGGUGAGUAACACGUGGGUAACCUGCCCUUGAAGUAGGGGAUAACACUUGGAAACAGGUGCUAAUACCGUAUAACAACCAAAACCACCUGGUUUUGGUUUAAAAGACGGCUUCGGCUGUCACUUUAGGAUGGACCCGCGGCGUAUUAGCUUGUUGGUAAGGUAACGGCUUACCAAGGCGAUGAUACGUAGCCGACCUGAGAGGGUAAUCGGCCACAUUGGGACUGAGACACGGCCCAAACUCCUACGGGAGGCAGCAGUAGGGAAUCUUCCACAAUGGACGAAAGUCUGAUGGAGCAACGCCGCGUGAGUGAUGAAGGGUUUCGGCUCGUAAAACUCUGUUGUUGGAGAAGAACAGGUGUCAGAGUAACUGUUGACAUCUUGACGGUAUCCAACCAGAAAGCCACGGCUAACUACGUGCCAGCAGCCGCGGUAAUACGUAGGUGGCAAGCGUUGUCCGGAUUUAUUGGGCGUAAAGCGAGCGCAGGCGGUUUUUUAGGUCUGAUGUGAAAGCCUUCGGCUUAACCGGAGAAGUGCAUCGGAAACCGGGAGACUUGAGUGCAGAAGAGGACAGUGGAACUCCAUGUGUAGCGGUGAAAUGCGUAGAUAUAUGGAAGAACACCAGUGGCGAAGGCGGCUGUCUGGUCUGUAACUGACGCUGAGGCUCG
RNAcentral lists this ribosomal RNA (750 nucleotides) under Lentilactobacillus buchneri. RNAcentral's name for it is "bacterial SSU rRNA". It matches the Rfam family "Bacterial small subunit ribosomal RNA", at positions 49 to 755 of the family's 1533-position model. The record is from RNAcentral. Lineage: Bacteria; Bacillati; Bacillota; Bacilli; Lactobacillales; Lactobacillaceae.